This 29-nucleotide small RNA is filed under the name Arabidopsis thaliana (thale cress). Its description in RNAcentral is "ATSL285610". The record is from RNAcentral. Lineage: Eukaryota; Viridiplantae; Streptophyta; Magnoliopsida; Brassicales; Brassicaceae.
UUGGAACAGCGGAGGGACUGGCUUACCUA